CCUACGGGCGGCAGCAGUGGGGAAUAUUGGGCAAUGGGCGAAAGCCUGACCCAGCAACGCCGCGUGAAGGAAGAAGGCUUUCGGGUUGUAAACUUCUUUUGACAGGGAAGAGCAGAAGACGGUACCUGUCGAAUAAGCCACGGCUAACUACGUGCCAGCAGCCGCGGUAAUACGUAGGUGGCAAGCGUUGUCCGAAUUUACUGGGGGUAAAGGGCGUGUAGCCGGGCUUACAAGUCAGAUGUGAAAUCCGGGGGCUCAACCCCCGAACUGCAUUUGAAACUGUUGGUCUUGAGUAUCGGAGAGGCAGGCGGAAUUCCUAGUGUAGCGGUGAAAUGCGUAGAUAUUAGGAGGAACACCAGUGGCGAAGGCGGCCUGCUGGACGACAACUGACGGUGAGGCGCGAAAGCGUGGGGAGCAAACAGGAUUAGAUACCCGAGUAGUC
RNAcentral lists this ribosomal RNA (442 nucleotides) under uncultured bacterium. RNAcentral describes it as "partial 16S ribosomal RNA". It matches the Rfam family "Bacterial small subunit ribosomal RNA", at positions 338 to 795 of the family's 1533-position model. The record is from RNAcentral.